Molecule: non-coding RNA, 3637 nt
Organism: Zonotrichia albicollis (white-throated sparrow)
Lineage: Eukaryota; Metazoa; Chordata; Aves; Passeriformes; Passerellidae
Source: RefSeq, a predicted model, not a curated record
UUAUGCCUCCUGAAGAAUCCUUCCCUACCCCCAAUCCCGUGCAAGUUCUUCAGGGGAUGAGGGAGAGCAAUGAACUUUUCCAGCUGAUCUCCCCCCGCAGGUUCCCAGACAUUCCCCAGGAUGCUCCCGGCUGUCUCAGCCAGCAGCAAUCCUGUCCUUUCCUUCCCUCGGCACACUGAGCCCUCCCAGCGCCCACGUCUGCAGGGGUUAACCGGGGAAUGGAGCAGGUACCGUGCCUGAUGGAAACAUGAAUAAAAUGUGAUGAAUAAGCAGCGGAACGGUGACUCUGGAAGCGGUGCUGCGGUGCGCGCUGCAAUCAGCGCCGAGCGCGGUGGCUGGGAAUGAACGUGAGCAGAAAACUGCAAGCCACCUGAACGCGAAAUCAAACCUACUCACCGGGUGAAAUUGCAGAAGGCGAAGCGGCUGUGAAUAAAACGCAUCCCGGCUCCAAGCAUAUAGUCCAUGGUCUGCGGCUUCAGGCUAGAGGAGGGCUGAGCAGGCUGGGGGGACUUUGGGAACCAGCAGCGGUUCUGCGUGUGUGACAACCCAUUUACACCGUGCGUGCCUGUCUGUGUGUGUGUGUAGGGCAGAGAGAGGCUCCAAACCCGAAACGGGGGAAAGAGGGAGGGGAGAAGGAGGAGGAGAGAGGGAAGCAAACCCGAAUAGCAAGAGGACUUGCGAAGAGGGAUGGGAUUCGCUGGGGUAAAUGUGAGGUUGGAUUUUUUUUUUAGGGUUUUUUUUUUUUUUUUUUUGGUGGUGAUGGAAGCGAUUCUCGAGGAAAGAAUAACAAAUUGUGGGAUCUCAGCCGCAGCCUUGCUGCCCGCCCGGCGCCGCUCUCGCUCGGAAGGGAUGUGGAGAUCCCCGAGCAGGGAAGGGGAUUUUGGGAGCGACCGUGCUGCAGGGAGAGGGGAUGGGCGGAAAUUCCCUCGCUCAUCACCCGAGUCCCUCUCCUGCCCGGGGUAAGCGAAGCAUCUCCUUUCCAUUUCCCCCGCUUCUCGAUGCUUCCGGGCUCUCGGUAUGGAAAUAAUGACAUGGCUCGUUGGAAAAAUCACCUUUUUCCUCACAUAGUGGCUCCGGAAUGCGUGCGGAAUUUUGAGGUGUGUGGGGUCCAGCAUUUAUGGAGCUUGACGUAUGUACCCCCCUCUCCUGGUCCCUUUUCUGCUGUGAACAGACAUGCGUUCAUGGCUAAUAAAAAUGCUUUUCCCUGGGUAUAGUGGGGCUGAGAGCUGAGCACGGGUAAAGUGAAAGGCAGUCCGUGUCAGGAAAGCGUGCACGGAGCUCUGGCAUCCCUGCAGGGCAGCAGGGGAUGGGUGCAGCUCACGCUCAGCAGGAUCAAUGAGCGCAGUAACCAUGAGAUUAUGUGAUGUAUGUGCCAGGCAAUAUGGAGAGUUACAGCAGCACUCGUCUGCGGCGCUCUGUGCGGUCUUUAAAUGAGAUGGCAAUUCUGGGUUUUUAUUAAGAAGCUUUUUGUCUUCUUUCUAUUGUCUCUAUAAGCACCAGUGUGAAGCUUUCGUGUCUGUUUGCCAGCCUGGCAGGUUGAGGUUUCCAGAAUCUGCUGGGGAAAAGUCGGAAACCGCAGGAACCCAAGAUUCCUCUGGCAUCGCAUUGGUUUGUUCCUGUCAGCAUAUCUCAUCACUCUUAUGCUAAAGAAUCGUGGAGUGAGCUGAUCUUAGCAAUGAUUUACGCUGCUUGGGGCUUUAUUGGUUUUUUUUUCUUUAGCGAAGAUAUAAGAAAAGGAGUGAAGGAAGGAUUAUAUGGUUUGUAAAGAGAAUAAUUCAGUGUACAUUUCAAGUGUAGUGGCUGUUAAAUAUGUAGAUAUAGAUACGAUUCUUUAUGCAGUUAUAAAAACAAAAGGUCUCUUUGCCUCAGGAUAUGAUUUCUCUUACAGCAACAGGUAGCAAAGGCUCCUCUGCCCCUUUCUCUCCCCUUAUCUCCUCCCCUUCAGCUCCUCCUGACAAAAUGAGGUUUAAAAGGUCAACCUGUUUAUGUAAAUAUUGUGCUUUCCUUAACAAAGACCGCUGCACAUCAAGCCUGCAGUGACUGUCAAAUAGAUUUGGGAUUCAAGGCAUUCAGUAAGGGUACUGUCCGUUUUCUAAGACUGAUAAAAUCUGGCAGAAAACAAAGGAGAGACGUAGUGUGUGCCUGAGAUGGAUCAACAGCGCCGGGGAGCCCAUGGGCAGCAGCACCAGAGCGGCAGAGUUCGGUACUGCAAUGUCCAUCGGACCUUUCCAUCGCAUGUGUGUGACAGAGGAACCCACAAAAUGUACAAAAAGAGAUUUGCUGCUAUGCUAAUGCCUUUCUGCUCUUUCCUUCAGGUUUCUUCUGCUCUCUAGUGAUGUCCUAGGCUGAACUUGCUUUGCAGCUCCUUCACACCAAAGGGAGCUUAAAUCAGCCAAGGAGGGUUUUGAGUCUGACCUACCUCACCCUCCCAAUGAAAGAGAUUGACUUCAUUAGUCCCUGGCUCAGACACUUCACAAUAAGGUGGAGUCUCUAUUCCAUACCAUCCAGAGGUGCAGUGGACAUAGCCUGCUCUUUAUUUCACUGUACUCUCUUUCCCUCCCUGCCACCUUCUUUCACCUACAGAGCAGGACACCUUGGUUUCCUCAGGUAGCAUCAACUCUUCUGGUUCUUUUCCACUUUAAAUUGAAAAAGAAUAUUCUGCAAUUAUUUUCACUUCAUAGAAUCACAGAAUUAUGGGAAGGGACCUUAAAGAUCAUCUAAUUGCAGCCCCUUUACCCAUUCCACUAGAACAGGCUGCUCAUAAAUGAUUGUGUCCAUUACCAAAAGACUAAAAAAGUUACUUUGGAAUUGCAACACAGAUCUUUCCCUGUGGUCAGCUCCAAGAGCUAAUUGCCCCAUAGUUUGAUUUGAGCCCUUAAAAUCAUUCUGAAGCAGAGUUAAAGGGUUGUGGAGGAUUAUGAUGCCUUUUGUUCAGUGGUGUUAAUAACCUGUGGCCUUAAAAUAUGAUAUCAUAAAAUCUCAUUUUAGGGUAGAGUACUGAAGUCACAAAUAAUGGAACAAACUGUACUGAAAGAGGCAGAAACUUAGAUCCCCACCAAAAAUGCUAACUCCAGAUUGGGACCCUGUCUGCAGCAGAUUCGUGUGAGGGAGAAGUGGCACAUGAAAUUCCCUCUUCCCAAAAGCCUUUUUUGACCACUGAAUUAGAGGUCAUUAGAGUCCUUUGUCCUGUAAAUCUGCAUUUAACAGCAGUGUAUAUCUGUAUAAACACAUUUUAACAGCUUAUCCCAUAACUUUUUUUUUUUUGUCUACUUCAUAUGAUCGACUACUUGGUUCUCUUUCUUCCAGAACCUGCUAAAUGCUUCUCUUUAACUACCAAAAAAUGUAAUUUAUUAAGGCAGCUCUGUAGCUAGUCUUAGUUUGCAACAGGCAAACCUAUUAUGCAAACAAUACUGUCACCUUCUUGCAGUGACUUCCUUCUCCCAGCUUUAAUGAAUUCCCUGCAUGCUACUCUGCUGUAAAUUCUCCAUCUAAAAAUUCCAUCCACUAUGUGAUGUGUCAGGGGAAACCACACUUGACUUUUGAAACAGUUGGGAGGAGCAGAAUGAUAACCUACUAAAGUGCCUUGCCCUUAACAGAAAUUAUGGCAAGCAAUUAAAGUUGGAGCAAAAAGACUUAA